AGCGAACGCGGUGAACUGAAACAUCUAAGUAACCGCAGGAAAAGAAAUCAACCGAGAUUCCCAAAGUAGUGGCGAGCGAAAUGGGAUGAGCCUUGCACUCUUUAUUUGUAUUGUUAGCCGAACGCUCUGGAAAGUGCGGCCAUAGCAGGUGAUAGCCCUGUAGGCGAAAACAGUAUGAAAGAACUAGGUGUGCGACAAGUAGGGCGGGACACGUGAAAUCCUGUCUGAAGAUGGGGGGACCAUCCUCCAAGGCUAAAUACUCGUGAUCGACCGAUAGUGAACCAGUACCGUGAGGGAAAGGCGAAAAGAACCCCGGGAGGGGAGUGAAAUAGAUCCUGAAACCGCAUGCAUACAAACAGUCGGAGCCUCGAAAGGGGUGACGGCGUACCUUUUGUAUAAUGGGUCAGCGACUUACGUUCAGUAGCAAGCUUAACCGUAUAGGGCAGGCGUAGCGAAAGCGAGUCCGAAUAGGGCGUUCAGUUGCUGGGCGUAGACCCGAAACCAAGUGAUCUAUCCAUGGCCAGGAUGAAGGUGCGGUAACACGUACUGGAGGUCCGAACCCACUAACGUUGAAAAGUUAGGGGAUGAGCUGUGGAUAGGGGUGAAAGGCUAAACAAACUUGGAAAUAGCUGGUUCUCUCCGAAAACUAUUUAGGUAGUGCCUCGUGUCUCACCUUCGGGGGUAGAGCACUGUCAUGGUUGGGGGGUCUAUUGCAGAUUACCCCGCCAUAGCAAACUCCGAAUACCGAAGAGUGCAAUCACGGGAGACAGACAUCGGGUGCUAACGUCCGGUGUCAAGAGGGAAACAACCCAGACCGCCAGCUAAGGUCCCCAAAUAUAGCUAAGUGGGAAACGAAGUGGGAAGGCUAAAACAGUCAGGAGGUUGGCUUAGAAGCAGCCACCCUUUAAAGAAAGCGUAAUAGCUCACUGAUCGAGUCGUCCUGCGCGGAAGAUGUAACGGGGCUAAGCUAUAUACCGAAGCUGCGGAUGCGUGCUUUGCACGCAUGGUAGGAGAGCGUUCCGUAAGCCUGCGAAGGUGCCUUGUAAAGGGUGCUGGAGGUAUCGGAAGUGCGAAUGCUGACAUGAGUAGCGAUAAAGGGGGUGAAAGGCCCCCUCGCCGUAAGCCCAAGGUUUCCUACGCAACGUUCAUCGGCGUAGGGUGAGUCGGCCCCUAAGGCGAGGCAGAAAUGCGUAGCUGAUGGGAAGCAGGUCAAUAUUCCUGCACCAUUGUUAGAUGCGAUGGGGGGACGGAUCGCGGAAGGUUGUCCGGGUGUUGGAAGUCCCGGUCGCUGCAUUGGAGAAGGCGCUUAGGCAAAUCCGGGCGCAGGAUUCAAGGGUGUGGCGCGAGCUUCUUCGGGAGCGAAGCAAUUGGAAGUGGUUCCAAGAAAAGCCUCUAAGCUUCAGUCUAACGAUGACCGUACCGCAAACCGACACAGGUGGGCGAGAUGAGUAUUCUAAGGCGCUUGAGAGAACUCGGGAGAAGGAACUCGGCAAAUUGGUACCGUAACUUCGGGAUAAGGUACGCCCUUGUAGCUUGACUGGCCUGCGCCAGGAGGGUGAAGGGGUUGCAAUAAACUGGUGGCUGCGACUGUUUAAUAAAAACACAGCACUCUGCAAACACGAAAGUGGACGUAUAGGGUGUGACGCCUGCCCGGUGCCGGAAGAUUAAAUGAUGGGGUGCAAGCUCUUGAUUGAAGUCCCGGUAAACGGCGGCCGUAACUAUAACGGUCCUAAGGUAGCGAAAUUCCUUGUCGGGUAAGUUCCGACCUGCACGAAUGGCGUAACGAUGGCCACACUGUCUCCUCCCGAGACUCAGCGAAGUUGAAGUGUUUGUGAUGAUGCAAUCUACCCGCGGCUAGACGGAAAGACCCCAUGAACCUUUACUGUAGCUUUGCAUUGGACUUUGAACCGAUCUGUGUAGGAUAGGUGGGAGGCUAUGAAACCGGAACGCUAGUUUCGGUGGAGCCGUCCUUGAAAUACCACCCUGGUUUGUUUGAGGUUCUAACCUUGGCCCGUGAUCCGGGUCGGGGACAGUGCAUGGUAGGCAGUUUGACUGGGGCGGUCUCCUCCCAAAGCGUAACGGAGGAGUACGAAGGUACGCUAGGUACGGUCGGAAAUCGUGCUGAUAGUGCAAUGGCAUAAGCGUGCUUAACUGCGAGACCGACAAGUCGAGCAGGUGCGAAAGCAGGUCAUAGUGAUCCGGUGGUUCUGUAUGGAAGGGCCAUCGCUCAACGGAUAAAAGGUACUCUGGGGAUAACAGGCUGAUACCGCCCAAGAGUUCAUAUCGACGGCGGUGUUUGGCACCUCGAUGUCGGCUCAUCUCAUCCUGGGGCUGUAGCCGGUCCCAAGGGUAUGGCUGUUCGCCAUUUAAAGAGGUACGUGAGCUGGGUUUAAAACGUCGUGAGACAGUUUGGUCCCUAUCUGCCGUGGGCGUUGGAUAUUUGAAGGGGGCUGCUCCUAGUACGAGAGGACCGGAGUGGACGAACCUCUGGUGUACCGGUUGUCACGCCAGUGGCAUCGCCGGGUAGCUAUGUUCGGAAGAGAUAACCGCUGAAAGCAUCUAAGCGGGAAACUCGCCUUAAGAUGAGAUAUCCCUGGGGACUAGAUCCCCUUGAAGGGUCGUUCGAGACCAGGACGUUGAUAGGUCAGGUGUGUAAGCGCAGUAAUGCGUUCAGCUAACUGAUACUAAUUGCCCGUAAGGCUUGAUCC
RNAcentral lists this ribosomal RNA (2708 nucleotides) under Burkholderia diffusa. RNAcentral's name for it is "23S ribosomal RNA". It matches the Rfam family "Bacterial large subunit ribosomal RNA". Lineage: Bacteria; Pseudomonadati; Pseudomonadota; Betaproteobacteria; Burkholderiales; Burkholderiaceae. The record is from RNAcentral.